UUAGUUGCCAGCAAGUAGCGUUGGGCACUCUAGCCAGACUGCCGGUGAUAAAUCGGAGGAAGGUGGGGACGACGUCAAAUCAUCAUGCCCUUUAUGUCCUGGGCUACACACGUACUACAAUGGCCGUUACAACGGGAAGCGAAGGAGCAAUCCGGAGCAAAUCCCUUAAAGGCGGUCCCAGUUCAGAUUGUGGGCUGAAACUCGCCCACAUGAAGGCGGAAUUGCUAGUAAUUGCAGAUCAGCAUGCUGCCAGUCGAAUACGUUCCCGGGCCUU
RNAcentral lists this ribosomal RNA (274 nucleotides) under uncultured Oscillospiraceae bacterium. RNAcentral describes it as "partial 16S ribosomal RNA". It matches the Rfam family "Bacterial small subunit ribosomal RNA", at positions 1111 to 1382 of the family's 1533-position model. The record is from RNAcentral. Lineage: Bacteria; Bacillati; Bacillota; Clostridia; Eubacteriales; Oscillospiraceae.